GUGAACUUAGUUUAAGUAAAAUACUUACCUUGCAAGUAAGUGAUUCGGCUCGAUUCGCCGAAGUUCACA
Molecule: transfer RNA, 69 nt
Filed under: Thelenota ananas
Lineage: Eukaryota; Metazoa; Echinodermata; Holothuroidea; Aspidochirotida; Stichopodidae
Description: tRNA-Ala
Rfam family: tRNA
About the family: Transfer RNA (tRNA) molecules are approximately 80 nucleotides in length. Their secondary structure includes four short double-helical elements and three loops (D, anti-codon, and T loops).
Source: RNAcentral